Catharus ustulatus (Swainson's thrush) is the source of this 600-nucleotide non-coding RNA. The record is from the annotation of a RefSeq genome assembly. NCBI's taxonomy places the organism in Eukaryota, Metazoa, Chordata, Aves, Passeriformes, Turdidae.
AUGAGGCGCCGGAUCCGGGCGUGGCCUGGGCUGGGCGUGGCGCUCUGGGGCAUGGAGAAAGAAAGACACAGUACCCAGUCCAAGUUACAAAGUGUUUGUUGUGAUUAUUAUUUACAUUUAUUUCAUCUCCGGAUGGUCAUGACCCUGUUGGAGUGCGGGGGGGACCUCCAGCUCCCCGGGGCGUCCCUGACUCUGCUCUGCCAUGGGAAUGGAUUCACUUUCGGGGAUUAUGGAAUGUUCUGGACUCGCCAGAGCCCUGGGAAGGCGCUGGAAUGGGUCGCAGGAAUCAAGAAUGAUGGCAGUUACACCCGGUACGCGCCGUCCGUGCAGGGCCGGUUCACGAUCUCCAGGGACAACGGGCAGAGCUCGGUGACGUUGACCAUGAACAACCUCAAGGACGAGGAUUCCGCCAUUUAUUUCUGCGGCAAAAGUGCUGGUGCUGCUGGUGAUCACGCUGUUGCUGAAUCUGGUGAUGGUGUCGAUCCCUUCCCAGUCACUGUGCCCUGCCCCUGUCCCCAAAUGUCGUUCAUGGUCAGCGACAUCGAGCUCUGCCCGUUGUCCCUGGAACUGGAGAACCGGCCCUUGACCAACGGCGUGUAG